UUUUAUGGAGAGUUUGAUCCUGGCUCAGAGUGAACGCUGGCGGCGUGCCUAAUACAUGCAAGUCGAACGAUGAAGCUUCUAGCUUGCUAGAAGUGGAUUAGUGGCGCACGGGUGAGUAACGCAUAGGUCAUGUGCCUCUUAGUUUGGGAUAGCCAUUGGAAACGAUGAUUAAUACCAGAUACUCCCUACGGGGGAAAGAUUUAUCGCUAAGAGAUCAGCCUAUGUCCUAUCAGCUUGUUGGUAAGGUAAUGGCUUACCAAGGCUAUGACGGGUAUCCGGCCUGAGAGGGUGAACGGACACACUGGAACUGAGACACGGUCCAGACUCCUACGGGAGGCAGCAGUAGGGAAUAUUGCUCAAUGGGGGAAACCCUGAAGCAGCAACGCCGCGUGGAGGAUGAAGGUUUUAGGAUUGUAAACUCCUUUUGUUAGAGAAGAUAAUGACGGUAUCUAACGAAUAAGCACCGGCUAACUCCGUGCCAGCAGCCGCGGUAAUACGGAGGGUGCAAGCGUUACUCGGAAUCACUGGGCGUAAAGAGCGCGUAGGCGGGAUAGUCAGUCAGGUGUGAAAUCCUAUGGCUUAACCAUAGAACUGCAUUUGAAACUACUAUUCUAGAGUGUGGGAGAGGUAGGUGGAAUUCUUGGUGUAGGGGUAAAAUCCGUAGAGAUCAAGAGGAAUACUCAUUGCGAAGGCGACCUGCUGGAACAUUACUGACGCUGAUUGCGCGAAAGCGUGGGGAGCAAACAGGAUUAGAUACCCUGGUAGUCCACGCCCUAAACGAUGGAUGCUAGUUGUUGGAGGGCUUAGUCUCUCCAGUAAUGCAGCUAACGCAUUAAGCAUCCCGCCUGGGGAGUACGGUCGCAAGAUUAAAACUCAAAGGAAUAGACGGGGACCCGCACAAGCGGUGGAGCAUGUGGUUUAAUUCGAAGAUACACGAAGAACCUUACCUAGGCUUGACAUUGAGAGAAUCCGCUAGAAAUAGUGGAGUGUCUGGCUUGCUAGACCUUGAAAACAGGUGCUGCACGGCUGUCGUCAGCUCGUGUCGUGAGAUGUUGGGUUAAGUCCCGCAACGAGCGCAACCCCCUUUCUUAGUUGCUAACAGGUUAUGCUGAGAACUCUAAGGAUACUGCCUCCGUAAGGAGGAGGAAGGUGGGGACGACGUCAAGUCAUCAUGGCCCUUACGCCUAGGGCUACACACGUGCUACAAUGGGGUGCACAAAGAGAAGCAAUACUGCGAAGUGGAGCCAAUCUUCAAAACGCCUCUCAGUUCGGAUUGUAGGCUGCAACUCGCCUGCAUGAAGCUGGAAUCGCUAGUAAUCGCAAAUCAGCCAUGUUGCGGUGAAUACGUUCCCGGGUCUUGUACUCACCGCCCGUCACACCAUGGGAGUUGUGUUUGCCUUAAGUCAGGAUGCUAAAUUAGCUACUGCCCACGGCACACACAGCGACUGGGGUGAAGUCGUAACAAGGUAACCGUAGGUGAACCUGCGGUUGGAUCACCUCCUUUCUAGA
RNAcentral lists this ribosomal RNA (1509 nucleotides) under Helicobacter pylori. RNAcentral's name for it is "bacterial SSU rRNA". It matches the Rfam family "Bacterial small subunit ribosomal RNA". The record is from RNAcentral. Lineage: Bacteria; Pseudomonadati; Campylobacterota; Epsilonproteobacteria; Campylobacterales; Helicobacteraceae.